This 513-nucleotide ribosomal RNA is filed under the name Typhlocaris ayyaloni. Its description in RNAcentral is "partial large subunit ribosomal RNA". It matches the Rfam family "Bacterial large subunit ribosomal RNA", at positions 1822 to 2595 of the family's 2925-position model. The record is from RNAcentral. Lineage: Eukaryota; Metazoa; Arthropoda; Malacostraca; Decapoda; Typhlocarididae.
CAUGUUUGUAUGGAGAUUAUAUAUAAUUUGACCUGCCCACUGAAUUGAAAAGUUUAAAGGGCCGCGGUAAUUUGACUGUGCAAAGGUAGCAUAAUCAGUAGUCUUUUAAUUAGAGGCUGGAAUGAAUGGUUGGACGAGAGGAAUUCUGUCUUUUUCGAGGGGUUUGAAUUUAACUUUUAAGUGAAAAGGCUUAAGUGAGCUAGAGGGACGAGAAGACCCUAUAAAGUUUAAUAGAUAGUUUUAUCUGAUUGAGAUGAAAUAAGAAUUAGAUAGGAGGAGUUUAUUUUGUUGGGGAGGCAAGAACAUAAAUGUAACUGUUCUAGGUAUAAAAAUAUAUAUAAUUAGUUUAAGAGCCUUUAGUAGGGAUUAAUAGAUUAAGUUACUUUAGGGAUAACAGCGUAAUUUUUUUUAAGAGAUUAGGUAUCGAAGAAAGUAGUUGCGACCUCGAUGUUGAAUUAAAGUUUCACCUAGGUGCAGGAGCUUGGGUUGUAGGUCUGUUCGACCUUUAAAACU